RNAcentral lists this ribosomal RNA (253 nucleotides) under uncultured bacterium. RNAcentral's name for it is "partial 16S ribosomal RNA". It matches the Rfam family "Bacterial small subunit ribosomal RNA", at positions 524 to 776 of the family's 1533-position model. The record is from RNAcentral.
UACGUAGGGGGCAAGCGUUGUCCGGAAUCAUUGGGCGUAAAGAGCGCGUAGGCGGCCCUGUAAGUCCGCUGUGAAAGUCAAGGGCUCAACCCUUGAAUGCCGGUGGAUACUGCAGGGCUAGAGUCCGGAAGAGGCGAGUGGAAUUCCUGGUGUAGCGGUGAAAUGCGCAGAUAUCAGGAGGAACACCGGUGGCGAAGGCGGCUAUCUGGACAGAAACUGACGCUGAGGCGCGAAAGCUAGGGGAGCAAACAGG